UAAGUUGUUGUAAAACCAAAUCACGCUGCCCUGUCACGGCAGAGGUCGCGAGUUCGAGUCUCGUCGUCCCCGCCA
This 75-nucleotide transfer RNA is filed under the name Acidobacteriota bacterium. Its description in RNAcentral is "Acidobacteria bacterium tRNA-Asp". Lineage: Bacteria; Pseudomonadati; Acidobacteriota. The record is from RNAcentral.